Molecule: ribosomal RNA, 497 nt
Filed under: uncultured bacterium
Lineage: Bacteria
Description: partial 16S ribosomal RNA
Rfam family: Bacterial small subunit ribosomal RNA
Source: RNAcentral
GAUGAACGCUGGCGGCGUGCCUAAUACAUGCAAGUCGAGCGAACAGACGAGGAGCUUGCUCCUCUGACGUUAGCGGCGGACGGGUGAGUAACACGUGGAUAACCUACCUAUAAGACUGGGAUAACUUCGGGAAACCGGAGCUAAUACCGGAUAAUAUAUUGAACCGCAUGGUUCAAUAGUGAAAGACGGUUUUGCUGUCACUUAUAGAUGGAUCCGCGCCGAAUUAGCUAGUUGGUAAGGUAACGGCUUACCAAGGCAACGAUGCGUAGCCGACCUGAGAGGGUGAUCGGCCACACGGGAACUGAGACACGGUCCAGACUCCUACGGGAGGCGGCAGUAGGGAAUCUUCCGAAAUGGGCGAAAGCCUGACGGAGCAACGCCGCGUGAGUGAUGAAGGUCUUCGGAUCGUAAAACUCUGUUAUUAGGGAAGAACAAAUGUGUAAGUAACUAUGCACGUCUUGACGGUACCUAAUCAGAAAGCCACGGCUAACUACGUG